Morus notabilis is the source of this 2117-nucleotide long non-coding RNA. RefSeq lists it as uncharacterized. Lineage: Eukaryota; Viridiplantae; Streptophyta; Magnoliopsida; Rosales; Moraceae. The transcript is spliced from 6 exons. The record is from RefSeq and is a predicted model, not a curated record.
GUGCAAAACAGUUUGGUCUUUCUUCAACAAUUUAUGGAGGCUAAAUCGCUUGAAGACGAAGACGAAGACAAGUGGCUUAUUUUUGGUCCAUGACUCCAAUAUGUGUCUUCAAGUUCAACUACAAAUGAUGCUUUUUGAGGAAAAAGAAAGCUUUGAAGAAGAAAUUAAAUCUCAUGAGAUUGAUGAAAUAUUGAUGAAAAAGAGCUCGCUUGGUGUUACCGUAGAUGAUGUUGCUAAAAGUCUUCAAGAGUUGGACAGAGAAAAAGUCAGAAUCAAGAAUAGAUCAUUGGCAGUUGUAUACAUGCUAGUUGGGUUUAAACAUGCCGUUGACCUCAAAUUCUUUUAUCACUAUCUCUGUGGAAUUAAAUGUUAUGAUUUGAGACUCACAGCCUAAAAAAGAUAAACUUCGCUAUAGAAUUUUUGCCAACCCAUGUCCCGAAUAACUUUAGUGAUUUCCGGCGGCAAUCCCUCGUAUCUUGUUUCGAAUCCCCUCUCUAUGCAGCCCCGAUUCUUGUUGCGUCUUUCAUACUAUUUUUCUGCGUCUUUCGAUACAAACUGAGUGUUGUCGUAAUCGAGAGGAGGUACUGCUGGGGCAUGGAGUUCUACCGGUGUAGGGAUAGGUGGGCGGUUGCUGGAGCUCGCAGCGACCUUGAUCCGGUUAGCAUUCACCUUCCGCGGCUGUCAAGAAAAUAAGAGAGGUCAUGAAAAGUAUAACCUUUUCGGAUGCCCGUGGAUAUUUCAGCUUUUAAGGCUAUGCCCGAGUCGGGAAUGAGGCUAGCCAAUUUUGAAGAUUGAGGUCAAUAUAUUCCACGGUGGUUUUAUUGACAGUUUUAGGAAACUACUAGGGCAACCUUGUGGCGUCCAUGUUUGGAGUUCAUGAGGUCGGCCGAGUUUAUUGUGCGACCUACUUUAGCUCCUUCGGUGGGGGAGAGAGAACAUGACUAUUAUAAACAUCUCGGUUGGUGUGAGGAUCUUGUGGAUCUUCUCAGGCUAGUUGGGUUUUUGAUGGCUAGAGACCCGAAGAAGCAUAUUAACUCAUCUUGGCUCAAGUAUGCCGUUGACCUCAAAUUCUUUGAUCAGCAUCCCUAUGGAAUUGAAACGUUAAGAUUUGACGCUCACAAGCCUAAAGAAGAUAAACUUUGCGGAAAUGUAGGAGUAAAGGUGUUAAGCGAACAAGAGAGGUCGUGAAAAGUAUAACCUUUUCGGAUGCCCGUAAAUAUUUCAGACAUAGGCUUUUGAGGCUAUGCCCGAGUCGGGAAGGAGGCUAGCUAAUUUUGAAGAUUGAGGUCAACAUAUUCCCCAAUGGUUUCAUUGAUUGUUUUAGUAAACUACUAGGGCAACCUUGUGGCGUCCGUGUUUGGAGUUCAUGAGGUCGGCCGAGCAGAGGAGAGUGAAUAUGACUAUUAUCAACGUCUUGGUAGGUGUGAGGAUAUUGUGGAUCUUCUCGGGCGUAAGGGAAAGAUAAAAAGAAGCAUUCGAGCUAGUUCAAAAUAUGCCUUUGAAACCUAAUAUAUGUCUCGCCGUCUCUUUGAGCUGGGUCCCUUGGUUGCAGCUCCAUUCGUGGAGAUGGCAAAAAUAUAUGCGUCGGAUGGAAAGUGGGACGGAGUUGCGGCAAUAAGAAAAAUGGUGAAAUGUAACAAUGUGAAGAAAUCUGUAGGUAAAAACAUUGUCCAAGUGAAUGGGAAGCAUCAUAUUUCUGCAUUUGAAGCAUCAUGUUUCUGCAGUUGAAGAUAAGGGUCAUUCUGAAAGUUUUGUGUAUAUAUGAAAUGUCGGAUAGUUUGAUGUUGCUGCUGAAAGGAGAAUCAUCAGAAUCCGAGUUAAAUCUGGAACAUGAAUUAGCAUGAAGUUAUUGCAAGAUUAGGUAGGAAAUAUAGAAACUACAAAACAAUAAAGAUGAAACACCUAAAAUCAAUUCAGAAAAAUAAGUUGAGGAAAUAAUAUAUUAUUCUCAGCUAUCUCACACAUUCUGGUUUGACAAUCAAUUUUAGGAUUGUCGGAUGGUUAUAAAAGUAUUCAAUGGAACCAAAUAAGAUGAGAAAUCUGACAAUAUACGGGACAUUUUGCACUGUGCUCCAUGUUGGAUUCUCAAUUACUUUUUUUUUUUUUGGUUGUCCUUU